GACGAACGCUGGCGGCGUGCUUAACACAUGCAAGUCGAACGGUGAAGCGCCUUCCUUUUUGGUGGGUGUGGAUGAGUGGCGAACGGGUGAGUAACACGUGAGUAACCUGCCCCCUUCUUCUGGAUAACCGCAUGAAAGUGUGGCUAAUACGGGAUAUUCUGGGUCUGUCGCAUGAUGGGUCUGGGAAAGAUAUUGUUUCGGUGGGGGAUGGGCUCGCGGCCUAUCAGCUUGUUGGUGGGGUGAUGGCCUACCAAGGCGGUGACGGGUAGCCGGCCUGAGAGGGUGGACAGGCACACUGGGACUGAGACACGGCCCAGACUCCUACGGGAGGCAGCAGUGGGGAAUAUUGCACAAUGGGCGCAAGCCUGAUGCAGCGACGCCGCGUGAGGGAUGGAGGCCUGCGGGUUGUGAACCUCUUUCGCCAGUGAAGCAGGCCUGCCUCGUUUGUGGGUGGGUUGACGGUAGCUGGAGAAGAAGCGCCGGCUAACUACGUG
RNAcentral lists this ribosomal RNA (494 nucleotides) under uncultured bacterium. RNAcentral's name for it is "partial 16S ribosomal RNA". It matches the Rfam family "Bacterial small subunit ribosomal RNA", at positions 28 to 507 of the family's 1533-position model. The record is from RNAcentral.